UCUUAGCUCAGCAGGUCAGAGCAGCAGACUCAUAAUCUGAAGGUCGUAGGUUCAAUCCCUACAGGGUC
RNAcentral lists this transfer RNA (68 nucleotides) under Leptotrichia wadei. It matches the Rfam family "tRNA", at positions 6 to 65 of the family's 71-position model. From Rfam's summary of the family: Transfer RNA (tRNA) molecules are approximately 80 nucleotides in length. Their secondary structure includes four short double-helical elements and three loops (D, anti-codon, and T loops). Lineage: Bacteria; Fusobacteriati; Fusobacteriota; Fusobacteriia; Fusobacteriales; Leptotrichiaceae. The record is from RNAcentral.